RNAcentral lists this transfer RNA (73 nucleotides) under Paludibacteraceae bacterium. RNAcentral describes it as "tRNA-Thr". It matches the Rfam family "tRNA". Rfam says of the family: Transfer RNA (tRNA) molecules are approximately 80 nucleotides in length. The record is from RNAcentral. Lineage: Bacteria; Pseudomonadati; Bacteroidota; Bacteroidia; Bacteroidales; Paludibacteraceae. RNAcentral also lists the same sequence under 1 other name.
GCCGCUAUAGCUCAGUUGGUAGAGCGCCGCAUUCGUAAUGCGUAGGUCGCGGGUUCGAGUCCCGCUUGCGGCU